CAAACCGUGCCCACACCGAGCAAGCAUCGACCAAAGAGAGAAGGGAGAAAGAGACAUCCGCCGUCGGGUAUAGGUGUGUGGGUCGCCACCUUGCUCAUAAAGUAUGGUCGGAGGAUGUCGACAUGACGUGUUGUACCUGUGCGAGGCAUCUUCGAGCUUUGGGGUCAGCGAAACCUCGAGAAUUCCUCGUUGGAGUUCCCACUCCCCCGCGGUGCCACUCCUCGCCGUGGCCGGCGUCACCUGAGCGACAAUCCGUGGUAAUAUUCCCUUGAACUUGUUCGCCAUGUUCUCAUGUAUGUGUAGCACCGUUCUCCUUGAAGGUAGCGCGCCGGGGCAAGAGAUGUCCAUACGCCGACGAGGCACCACCGCGGGCUUGGUCGGGCGUAAGAGAAGCUCUACUGGCCGUUGAUCUCCCUGCAGACAGCCGUGAUUAAACCAAGACAUAACCCUUCGCUUCAUUAAACCUUCGUCGUAGGAUGCAAAUCGUCCAAUGGAGAUUAGAUCUUUGCAUGAGUGUUAUCAGUCUUUGAUCUCAGAUCCAGAGGCUAGGAAGGCAUAUCGGUUCGAUUAGAUUUCGAUCUAAUCUGGACCACACAAGUUACAUCCGACGGCUGAUAUUCCAUGAUACCCCUUCGUGCCCGAAUGUUUGCAUAAGAGACGCCAUAUUACUGGGGAUUCAACCCGCGGUUUCACCUAGUUUAAAGACUAUCACAACAAGGUCCUUUUAUUUGUGAAUAACACCCUGACCUUUCCAAUUUUUGAACCCCCAAGCUCGGGUAUUUAUAAAAUUGAAUAUAGAAAAGGAUUUUUAGUAUAAAAGUAAUUCCAGAAAACUAAUAAAUUUGUAUCUUAUUCAUUUUAACUCCGAUUUGACUCGUUUAAGUUGCGAUAGCUUUGUAAUAAAAUUGCCUACGCAAUAAGAGCCUUAAUUGUAUCAUAUCAAAUACUUUUAUAAUUAGAUAUUUGUUUUAUCCUAUGUUUAGUACAUUUAUCUUACUAAUCAAAGUUAAUGUGUCUAUAAUUAUAAUCAUACUCUAAUCAAGUUAUAGCUUAGAUUAAAAUUGAAUUUGUUGUUUAAUUAGAAUAUAUUUACUCACAUGGUUUAUAUUAAUCAAGAUAACAUAGUUUAAUAUGUAAUAAUAUAAAUCUUCUGAACACUACAACUUUCUAACCGUAACUCCAAAUUUAGUGGUUCUCGAACUGUGAUAUCCUGGCCCCUGGGAUGGUGAUAUCCUGGCCCAAGGCUUAAUAGGAUUAAUAGAGUAUCCAUACCAACAAGAUGCAUCUUCUUUUUCCAAAGGCUAUCUCGAAAGAACCUCCAAGUUAAACGUGCUUGGCUUGGAGCAAUUUGAGAUGGGUGACCGACUGUAAAGUUUUCUCGGGUGCGCAUGAGUGAGGACAAAGUGCACAUAAAAGACUCGUGUUGGUCUGUGGAGACAAUAUAUGAUCCUAGCGAGCUGUCAGGAGUAAGUACCGCCGGUCCAGGGAUUGGACGGGGUGUUACAAGUGGUAUAAGAGCUGACCCUCGAGGUUUCACGGGCGUGUGUGGGAUAGGGGGUUUGGGUAUAUGGCGCAUGUCACAUGUGGGCCCAGAGUGGUCACAUGGCAUGACAUAUGACGACACUAGACACACAUAUGUGGCUAAGAGGGGAGGUUUUAAGAUUGGGGUUGACCGACGAGGACGUCGAUCUUCUAAGGGGGAUGGAUUGUGAUAUCCUGGCCCAAGGCUUAAUAGAAUUAAUAGAGUAUCCAUACCAACAAGGUGCAUCUUCUUUUUCGGAAGCCUAUAUCGAAAGAACCUCCAAGUUAAGUGUGCUUGGAUUGGAGCAAUUUAGGAUGGGUGAACGACUGGGAAGUUUUCUCGGGUGUGCAUGAGUGAAGACAAAGUGCGCACAAAAGACUCGUGUUGGUCUGUGGAGACAAUAUAUGAUCCUAGCGAGCUGUCAGGAGUAAGUACCGUCGAUCCAAGGAUUGGACGGGGUGUUACACGAACCUACGAUUUCGUAGCGACAUGUAGAAUAUUCCUACGCAGUUUGUUCUCAUGUUUGGUGUAAUGUUAUUUUUGUGUACUACUUGCCUAUUUGUAUGUAUUGCUAUGAGUAGCAGCGAGGUCACGAGAAACUCGUAGACCAACUUAGUGAAGUACCUAGAGUUGCACUAAAAAGGCAAGUUGUGCCCUUGAUCACUCUUCUUUACCUAAUAAUGUUCAUGUUAAUCACUAUGACAUGCUUAGGUUAAUUUGAUGGGACCUAAUAGGUUACCCUAGUUUUGUUUACCGCACACCUUGCAAACAAUAAACUAUUGGGUAGACUUGCUAUUGCUCUUCCUGGUUUUGGGAUUAAUGUUAUAUCUAAAUUAUGAUCAUGUUCCAUUAUUGUUGUUGGUUUAAUUAUUGUUCAUGAUAAGAUUAUUAUGUUAAAUGGAACAUGGAGCGACCACAGAGGAAAACAGUGCUACCACAAGGGUGGAAUGGGACGCCCGUGGCUGACAACUCAUUAGGAAAGCUAGUGGAGGACUACCUUACCCGAAAGAGACAAGGGCAAUAGAGGAGUUGUCGGUGUAGGGAGGUUCUCGGGUCGAUCAUGCUGCGAUGGCUUUUCGGACGAGGGAUUCCUAUAUCGCUCUUCUCGCGAAAUCGUAGUCGGUUUUCUGAAGCUAGUGGAACUUUGUAAAUGCAUCAUAGUGGAUCCCUAGCCAUUCACCUCGGGAGUGUCUAAUGGCCUUGCAAACUCUGGCUAGAUGGGAUACACGACUUGUGGGUAAAGGCACAACCUCUGCAGAUUGUAAAACUGGUAUAUCAGUCGUGCUCACGGUCAUGAGCGACUCGAACCCUCAUAUGAGUUACUUAUGGAAUUAAACUUAUAUGUCAUAUGCAUUGCAUUGUGAGAUUUAUUAUUUACUGUAACCUCUUAUUUAAUUGGGAUGGUAUCUACUUAUAUUUAGUAAAUGCUAAUAAAAUUUUGACCAACUUGUUAAAAGCAACGCUUAGCCUUAACCAUUCUCAUUGGUAAGCCUUACACUUUACAUGAGCCUCACCGUAAGUAAGUUCAUGUACAUUAUUCCCCACAACUUAUUGAGCGAUGAACAUAUGUAAGCUCACUCUUGCUGUACUCACCCCCAGGUCAAGUACAGGUACCACAAGAUAAGGAGCCUGAAGGAUAUCGCGAUGAGUUCAUGAGAGGUCUAGGUCGUCGUCUCCCUGUCAACUAUGGUUACGGAGGGUCGUUAUCUUCAUGUGAUGUAAUUAUUUAGCUAUUUUGUACAGAACCCCUAUUAUAUAAUGAAGAUGUGACAUUCGUUUCUAUAUCAUAAGUCAUCAUAUGUGUGAGACUUGAUCCUAUCACACAUUUGAUUCGCGCCCGAGU
RNAcentral lists this long non-coding RNA (3365 nucleotides) under Zea mays. Its description in RNAcentral is "long non-coding RNA (ZMAY_LNC002861)". Lineage: Eukaryota; Viridiplantae; Streptophyta; Magnoliopsida; Poales; Poaceae. The record is from RNAcentral.